AAACUUCCUAAUUCUAUAAUGAAAUAUAAUUCCAGAGUUGAGUCUUCUUUUAAUACUACAACAUUCUACCCAAGUUGGAGAAAACUUGACCUUGAGUCUUGUAGUCUGGAGGAAUCAAGAACUAGAUUUAGAGAAUAAGCAACUUUGUUUUCUUGGAUGAUAGCAAUGAGAUUGAAACGAAAAACUUCAUUCUUUCCUUUGCAUUUCUGGAAACAUCUGAACAUAGAAAAGUAAUCACAACUACAACUACAGGACGCUUCAACUCAGUAGGAACAAGGGAAUUUUAAAAUCCUUCAAUUUUCGUCGUUGUUCCCUGUUACAUAUCAGCUUGCACACUUAAUAAAACAGAGGAAAAGGAAGAGAGAGAUAGAAAUAGAU
This 378-nucleotide unclassified non-coding RNA is filed under the name Hevea brasiliensis (rubber tree). The record is from RNAcentral. Lineage: Eukaryota; Viridiplantae; Streptophyta; Magnoliopsida; Malpighiales; Euphorbiaceae.